CGUUGGGCUAGACCGGGAUGCUUGGCGUAUCCUUGUAUACCGAAACCGUCAACAUGCGGAGGUGACAGCAUGGGACGGGGUCUAUGGAAACUGCAGGCCCACGGAUAGACUAUGAGAUCCUGUCUUGCGGGGUUGGCGUCUGUCUCCGAAGCAGCCGGAGGGUUGCGGAGGAUUCACUAAUCGCAGAAACCGGGUCAGGCCCUGACGGGAGCAGCCUUACUGCGAACUACUGACGCUCGUAGGGUAACGGGGUUGAGGAUUGAAGUGUCAAACCUGCGGUGGAAGUAACCUCAACCUGUGUGGCCCAGCA
This 310-nucleotide signal recognition particle RNA is filed under the name Candidatus Methanomethylophilaceae archaeon. RNAcentral's name for it is "signal recognition particle sRNA". It matches the Rfam family "Archaeal signal recognition particle RNA". Lineage: Archaea; Methanobacteriati; Thermoplasmatota; Thermoplasmata; Methanomassiliicoccales; Methanomethylophilaceae. The record is from RNAcentral.